AGAACAUCAUUGGGCCAGGGGUGAAUUAAUUGAAGGGAGGUGUGCAACGCAAGUUGCUUUGGGCCAAAGGCCCAACCUCCAAAUAUCCAAACCGAGUUCAAGAAUAACCACCCAAGACAUGCUUCCAUAGAAGCCCCUUCACAAGAAAGGCAUCGCUUAAAAGAAGAACGAAGGAUAACUUUCACUGUGUUGAAAAAAUGCUCAUUAGCAUCCGCGACUCAAUGAACAUCUCACCUUAAAAUCCGAUGUACUCCUUUGUUCCGUGGUUGAUUGAAAUGAAGAUGAAGCUUCACAUUCGUGCGUUUUCCCUUGAGAUGAAGAUGAAGACGUUCAGAUUCGUGCAUGCUGCAUUGAGAUGAAGAUAAAGACGUUCAGAUUCGUGCGUUAUGAAUUGGCAUGUGUCUCCUUCGUUUUUUUUCCUUCUAUUUCUACUCCUUUGAAUGCGCCUUGUUCCUUCUCCUUCACUUCCAUUUCUGUUAUCGAGCUCUUUUUGUGAAUUCCUAGAAACCGCUUCUUUGAGCUUUUUUUCUGGGUUUUUGUUGAAGGUUGAUCGAAGAGGUUGGUUGGGAGGUUGGAAAUCGGAAUAGGGAGGUUGAUUGAAGGAGUUAGUUAUGAGUUUGUUGAACUUUGUUAGAGGGUGAUUUGAGAAUGGUUUAGAAUCGGUUAGGAGUUAGUUUAACAGCUUGUUGGAAAAGUUGGGUUGGAAGGUUGGAGAUUAGGAAAGGGUGAUUCCGAAGGUGUUUGAGAGAGUUCAGUUCUAAUCCUCUUUGAGAGUUUUGAUAUCAGUUGGUUUUUUAUUAUUAGUAGGGUGAUUGAAGAUUCGACAAAAUUCGUUAGGAGAGGUUCUGUUGAGGAGUUUUCAGUUAUCUCUUUUAGAAGGUUGUUGAAGAUUAGAGAAAUUCGGUUUAGAGUUGCUAUGGCAGUUAGAGUUGGUUAUUUAUUCAGUCAGAGAUUGGUUUUGAGGCUUCGGUUCAGUUGAGUUUUUGUAGGUUGUUAUGGGUUCUUCUUAACCAGAUAUUUGUUGAAGGGAUAGGUAGUUAGUUAGAAUGGUUAUGUUUGUAGGUGAUUGAAGGGUGUUGUUAGAGAGAAUUAUUCAUGAGAUGGAUGGAGGUUAGAAGUUGUUAAAACGGUUCCCCCUUUGUUGAGUUCUGUUGAGGAUUGUUUUAUAGUUGGAUUUCCGUUGGAAGGUUUGGAAAAACGGUUAGAAAUUCUAAAAAUUUGUUGAGAUGUGAACGCUUUUUUUUUGCAGGUUAUGAUUUUUAUUAUGGAAUUGCUUUGGCUUGGACACAACUAUGGAUCAUUGCAUUGAAUUGCUUGUUGAAAGUUGCUUGCAUGGAUGUUUGGGAAUUGAUGGGAACUAUGCAUUGGAUUGUUGUAAUUUUGUUGUAACAUGACUUGUUGUAUGUAGGAUUUAAAUUGUAAAUUUUGUAAGAUGAAAUUGAAUGUAAAGUUGGGUUUAUGAAAUGUUGUAAAUCUUGUAUGGAAUUGUAUGUAAAAGAUGGAAUUUGAAAUUGAAAUUGUAGUGGUUUAUGUGUGAAUGAAUAUAUUUUAGAAAUUGAAUAAAUGGAAAUGAUGCUUAAUAAA
RNAcentral lists this long non-coding RNA (1584 nucleotides) under Lathyrus oleraceus (garden pea). RNAcentral's name for it is "Pisum sativum (pea) long non-coding RNA (PSAT_LNC006122)". The record is from RNAcentral. Lineage: Eukaryota; Viridiplantae; Streptophyta; Magnoliopsida; Fabales; Fabaceae.